This 200-nucleotide unclassified non-coding RNA is filed under the name uncultured Tomentella. Its description in RNAcentral is "sequence contains ITS1". The record is from RNAcentral. Lineage: Eukaryota; Fungi; Basidiomycota; Agaricomycetes; Thelephorales; Thelephoraceae.
CUGAGUCGUCGACACGAGUUGUUGCUGGUCCCCAAACAGGGGACACGUGCACGCUCUGUUUACACAUCCACUCACACCUGUGCACCCUCUGUAGUUCUAUGGUCUGGGGGGCCCUGCCUCCCUUCUGUGGUUCUGCAUCUUUACACACACACUGUAAUAAAGUCUUAUGGAAUGUACACCGCGUUUAACGCAAUACAAUA